GACCUCGGAUCAGGUAGGAAUACCCGCUGAACUUAAGCAUAUCAAUAAGCGGAGGAAAAGAAACCAACAGGGAUUGCCCUAGUAACGGCGAGUGAAGCGGCAAUAGCUCAAAUUUGAAAUCUGGCCUUCGGGUCCGAGUUGUAAUUUGUAGAGGAUGCUUUUGGUGCAGUGCCUUCCGAGUUCCCUGGAACGGGACGCCUUAGAGGGUGAGAGCCCCGUACGGUUGGACACUAAGCCUCUGUAAAGCUCCUUCGACGAGUCGAGUAGUUUGGGAAUGCUGCUCUAAAUGGGAGGUAAAUUUCUUCUAAAGCUAAAUAUUGGCCAGAGACCGAUAGCGCACAAGUAGAGUGAUCGAAAGAUGAAAAGCACUUUGAAAAGAGGGUUAAAUAGCACGUGAAAUUGUUGAAAGGGAAGCGUUUGCGACCAGACCUUUUCCUGGCGGAUCAUCCGGUGUUCUCACCGGUGCACUUCGCCAGGUUUAGGCCAGCAUCGGUUUCCGCAGAGGGAUAAAAGCUCUGGGAACGUAGCUCCUUCGGGAGUGUUAUAGCCCUCUGCAUAAUACCUUUGUGGGGACCGAGGACCGC
This 584-nucleotide ribosomal RNA is filed under the name Xylaria feejeensis. Its description in RNAcentral is "eukaryotic LSU rRNA". It matches the Rfam family "Eukaryotic large subunit ribosomal RNA", at positions 1 to 596 of the family's 3401-position model. Lineage: Eukaryota; Fungi; Ascomycota; Sordariomycetes; Xylariales; Xylariaceae. The record is from RNAcentral.